GGCGGCAGGCCUAACACAUGCAAGUCGAGCGGUAGCACAAGAGAGCUUGCUCUCUGGGUGACGAGCGGCGGACGGGUGAGUAAUGUCUGGGAAACUGCCUGAUGGCGGGGGAUAACUAGUGGAAACGGUAGCUAAUACCGCAUAACGUCGCAAGACCAAAGUGGGGGACCUUCGGGCCUCACGCCAUCAGAUGUGCCCAGGUAGGAUUAGCUGGUAGGUGGGGUAACGGCUCACCUAGGCGACGAUCCCUAGCUGGUCUGAGAGGAUGACCAGCCACUCUUCAUCGAGUAGU
RNAcentral lists this ribosomal RNA (292 nucleotides) under Serratia symbiotica. RNAcentral describes it as "partial 16S ribosomal RNA". It matches the Rfam family "Bacterial small subunit ribosomal RNA", at positions 38 to 327 of the family's 1533-position model. Lineage: Bacteria; Pseudomonadati; Pseudomonadota; Gammaproteobacteria; Enterobacterales; Yersiniaceae. The record is from RNAcentral.